CACGUAGGGUGCGAGCGUUGUCCGGAAUUAUUGGGCGUAAAGAGCUCGUAGGCGGUGUGUCGCGUCGGCCGUGAAAACCUGCAGCUUAACUGUGGGCUUGCGGUCGAUACGGGCAUCACUGGAGUUCGGCAGGGGAGACUGGAAUUCCUGGUGUAGCGGUGAAAUGCGCAGAUAUCAGGAGGAACACCAGUGGCGAAGGCGGCGAUCUGGGAAGAUACUGACGCUGAGGCGCGAAAGCGUGGGUAGCAAACAGG
Molecule: ribosomal RNA, 254 nt
Filed under: uncultured bacterium
Lineage: Bacteria
Description: partial 16S ribosomal RNA
Rfam family: Bacterial small subunit ribosomal RNA
Source: RNAcentral